GUUUUGACUAAUUUUUUGAAGAGAAAAAAAAGAAGAAAUAAGAAUUAAGAAACAACUCUCAAUAAGCCAAUGUAGUGAUUUAUAAGUAUGAUGAUCGAUUAAGUUCGAGUUACACUAGCGGUCUAGUCACGCUAUAAUCACGACUUGGUCGCAGAAGCUUCAAACAUUAUUCAAUACUCUGAAGUGUAACUUGCACAUGAAUGUUGACGAGUACUGGAUCAUCGAAAAACAAGGUUUAUUCUCAUGAUUCAAGGUUUUUAAACUCAGACGUGUGAAUUCUGUGCUAUUCUUUUGUUUUGUUUCAGAUGUUUAUAUUUCCUGAAAUGAAAACAAGUAUGAUUUGCUUUCUAUGCAACACGUGCAAGUAUUAUAUACAAUGGUUUCCGGUUAAAACAAGUCGAUAACAGAAACCGAUAUAAAAAAAAACAAACACAUCUUCUGCAAAAUAUUACCAGAGAUUAAUCUUCGAACUCAAUCAUUUUCUGUUCACAAAAGAAACAGCACUAUUUUCUAAUUAUUUAUAUAAAACAAAAAAAUAUCAUAAGCAGAAGAAAAGACAGUAUCUUUCUUAUUUUCAAAGCUCAAUCUCAUCAAACAACCAUGUUAAGUCUUACCAAAUCAGUCUCAACUAAGGAUUAACUGAUGAAAGAAGUAUACAGGUAUCGAGAAAGGGAAAUGAGCACAAAGGUCAACGGGAUUCCUGUACCAAAUAAGUUCUGAGGAAAAGAAGCAUUCCAUAUGGCAUACUUGUUGAUUGUGGAAAUUAUGUAUUACUCCCAUCUGAUAGUGCACGAUCAGAAAGCUAUAAUCAUUCUUUAUACUAUACGAGUGGAGAUGGUACAAAUAGCAUAACUGUAUGUACGGAUCUUCUGCUCGGGAGUGACGGGGAGCAAGCCGACAUUUUUAUUCUAAUGCGUGCUCACCGGCUGCGUUCACCAAGGUAAACGCGCUCGGAACGCUGGUGAAAAUAACAGAGCUCGGUACGUCAUAUGCCUCUCUAUCGACUACACUACUGAUUUUACUGUGUGGAAAUUGCAACAAUACAAGAGACCAAUAUUAGUUGGAUUAAUUUAUAAGUAAGCUUAGUAAAUGGAAAUUUAAAAAAUAAUUAAUUAUUU
This 1118-nucleotide long non-coding RNA is filed under the name Apis mellifera (honey bee). RNAcentral describes it as "uncharacterized LOC102655536, transcript variant X2". The record is from RNAcentral. Lineage: Eukaryota; Metazoa; Arthropoda; Insecta; Hymenoptera; Apidae.